UGAAGUGACACAACCGGACCUCUUUCUCUCUUCCUCUCUCACCGGAGUCAUCACACAGAAUGUGUGUUUAGAUGAUUGAGACUGAAGACACAAUAAUGGAUUUAAAUUAAAUAACCCAGCCUCAUACUGAAACUGAAGAAUGGAAAAGAAGCAGGAGGAAAGUAAAUUAAAACCCCAAUCCAUUGCAUACAUACUCGGCUUCCACUCCAAACAUGGUUGCCAUGGGAUCGCCCUCCAACAAUGAUACAAACGGAUCACCAAUUGUUUCUUCACCGAACACCGCUGUCACCAGCGUUACUGCUCUUGCUGCUGCCACUGCUUCCAUUGCACUCACUGCUCAGUUGCUUCCAAUAAGCUUCUUUCAGUUAUAGCCUACGCAACUUCCUUACAUGUAAUGGUCAUCUGCUGUUAUCUGAAUAUUCAUUAGUGACUGGCAC
Long non-coding RNA from Erigeron canadensis, 437 nucleotides. RefSeq lists it as uncharacterized. The record is from RefSeq and is a predicted model, not a curated record. The transcript has 3 exons. NCBI's taxonomy places the organism in Eukaryota, Viridiplantae, Streptophyta, Magnoliopsida, Asterales, Asteraceae.